GGGUGAAGGAACUAGGCAAAAUGGUACCGUAACUUCGGGAGAAGGUACGCUCUUGAUGGUGAAGUCCCUUGCGGAUGGAGCUGACGAGAGUCGCAGAUACCAGGUGGCUGCAACUGUUUAUUAAAAACACAGCACUGUGCAAAAUCGUAAGAUGACGUAUACGGUGUGACGCCUGCCCGGUGCCGGAAGGUUAAUUGAUGGGGUUAGACUU
RNAcentral lists this ribosomal RNA (211 nucleotides) under Vibrio parahaemolyticus. Its description in RNAcentral is "partial 23S ribosomal RNA". It matches the Rfam family "Bacterial large subunit ribosomal RNA", at positions 1703 to 1897 of the family's 2925-position model. The record is from RNAcentral. Lineage: Bacteria; Pseudomonadati; Pseudomonadota; Gammaproteobacteria; Vibrionales; Vibrionaceae.